This 429-nucleotide ribosomal RNA is filed under the name Chloroflexota bacterium. RNAcentral's name for it is "Chloroflexi bacterium partial 16S ribosomal RNA". It matches the Rfam family "Bacterial small subunit ribosomal RNA", at positions 355 to 776 of the family's 1533-position model. The record is from RNAcentral. Lineage: Bacteria; Bacillati; Chloroflexota.
UGGGGAAUAUUGCACAAUGGGCGCAAGCCUGAUGCAGCCAUGCCGCGUGUAUGAAGAAGGCCUUCGGGUUGUAAAGUACUUUCAGUCGGGAGGAAGGUGUCAAGGUUAAUAACCUUGGCAAUUGACGUUACCGACAGAAGAAGCACCGGCUAACUCCGUGCCAGCAGCCGCGGUAAUACGGAGGGUGCAAGCGUUAAUCGGAAUUACUGGGCGUAAAGCGCACGCAGGCGGUUGAUUGAGUCAGAUGUGAAAUCCCCUGGCUUAACCCGGGAAUUGCAUCUGAUACUGGUCAGCUAGAGUCUUGUAGAGGGGGGUAGAAUUCCAUGUGUAGCGGUGAAAUGCGUAGAGAUGUGGAGGAAUACCGGUGGCGAAGGCGGCCCCCUGGACAAAGACUGACGCUCAGGUGCGAAAGCGUGGGGAGCAAACAGG